RNAcentral lists this transfer RNA (63 nucleotides) under Pedinopleurus sp. HE-2012. RNAcentral describes it as "tRNA-Leu". The record is from RNAcentral. Lineage: Eukaryota; Metazoa; Arthropoda; Insecta; Coleoptera; Staphylinidae.
AUUAUUUUGGCAGAUUAGUGCAUUAAAGUUAGAAUUUAAUUAUGUAUAUAAAUUACAAAUAAU